GCCGGCCCCUGGGCGCCCCGAGGUGCCCCGGGAGCCCCCCCCGGGGCCGGGGGGAGGCGAGGAGCGGAGAUGCGGCGGGUGCCGGCCGCACCGGGAGCGGGCAGCCGGGCGGCUGCGUCCUCGCUCGCCGCAGGUUUGAAGGUAAAGUGCGUGCGAUUUGUCACCCGCACAAAAGGGAGGAGGAAGGAAAGACGAGCAAGGAAACAAACCACGCAGGGGAGGGAUGGGAGGGAGAAACAAAGGGAAGAAUAAAACCCUCUCCGGGAACAAGCAAACAAAGAGGUGCGAAACGCUCCCCAGCCUCACCAGUCCCAGCAAGUGGGCCUGACCUGAAGAAGUCCUCUUCGUCCUCAAGGCUGUCAGCCCAGAGCCACAGGCACCUGAAUGGGAGCUCAGGACCACAUCCCCAGGGGAUUUCGUGCACAGCAGGAGGAGAAAGCCUGAGCUGAAACACUACAUGCAUCAUAAAACCAUGGGCACAGCAUGCUCAGGAAAUGUAACACCCUGAACACACCUCAGGAAAAAGCCUGAACUCCAAACAACAAACGAAGGCAUCUUUCCCAGGAACAGAAAAUUCCUGACUCCAUCAGGAGAAUGAAAACCAGGGGUUGCACUGGUUGCUGGAUAAGCCAUUUCAGAUCACCCGCUUGUCGUUUGGAUUGCCUUACCCCUCUUCCAUUGAAGUGCAGCAGUCUGGUAAGCACUGUCCACUUUCCAGGCUUUGACAACCUCCUCCUUUCUGCACCACUGGCUCUUUCAGAGGAGAUGUUUUUUUCCAUAAAUGAGUGGCUGAGGCUUGUUAUCUGAGUUCUCUGAAAUACUAUUGUGACAAAUAUCAGUGGCUAGUGGCUGUAUUUCCCAAAUGAAGGUACUGUCCAUUCUUCAGUGUGAUACUGGAGUCAUCUUCUGCUAGUAUGACCAUGUUAUUUCCAAGGACACAUCUGGCCCUGAGGCAGAAGCACCCCUGCUUUCAGACGGCUGAUGGAGGAGCUGGCUGCUAGUGCAGGGCUGUGUGGCAGGGACAUCUCCUCACAGCAGGGCACCUGACCUGAUAAAUGACUUCCAAUCUUGUUGGAUACCAGGUACGGACAAAUGCACAAGGCUGCUGCAUGGGUGGUAUGGAAGGGAAAGAGGAGAAAUAAAUUGUGUUUCACAUGGGAAAAAAAGAUUUAA
This 1173-nucleotide long non-coding RNA is filed under the name Anser brachyrhynchus (Pink-footed goose). RNAcentral describes it as "lncRNA (ENSABRG00000002482.1)". The record is from RNAcentral. Lineage: Eukaryota; Metazoa; Chordata; Aves; Anseriformes; Anatidae.